RNAcentral lists this ribosomal RNA (500 nucleotides) under uncultured bacterium. RNAcentral's name for it is "bacterial SSU rRNA". It matches the Rfam family "Bacterial small subunit ribosomal RNA", at positions 8 to 526 of the family's 1533-position model. The record is from RNAcentral.
AGAGUUUGAUCAUGGCUCAGGAUGAACGCUGGCGGCGUGCCUAAUACAUGCAAGUCGAGCGGAAAGGCCCUUCGGGGUACUCGAGCGGCGAACGGGUGAGUAACACGUGAGUAACCUGCCCUUGGCUCUGGGAUAAGCCCGGGAAACUGGGUCUAAUACCGGAUAUGACCCUUCACCGCAUGGUGUGGGGUGGAAAGUUUUUCGGCUGGGGAUGGACUCGCGGUCUAUCAGCUUGUUGGUGGGGUGAUGGCCUACCAAGGCGACGACGGAUAGCCGGCCUGAGAGGGUGACCGGCCACACUGGGACUGAGACACGGCCCAGACUCCUACGGGAGGCAGCAGUGGGGAAUAUUGCGCAAUGGGCGGAAGCCUGACGCAGCGACGCCGCGUGGGGGAUGAAGGCCUUCGGGUUGUAAACCUCUUUCACCACCGACGAAGCUAACGUGACGGUAGGUGGGGAAGAAGCGCCGGCUAACUACGUGCCAGCAGCCGCGGUAAUAC